GGCAAACAUAUGUUGUGGGGUGGGUAUGCAGGAGCUAAGAAAUUAUCUCUUAUUUUUAGCACAAAUCAACUGUUCAAUCAUAAGGUAGAUUGGAUGAGCAUAACAUUGGCAUAUAUAUGUAUUGAAAUUUAUGACAGAUUCCAAAUAGCCUAAUCAAUUGUUUCUUACCAAAUAUUUGCACCACCACCCAUGCCCUCCCUUAGACACACACACGCAUAGGGGAAACAAGGUGGGGGAAGGAGUUGCUACCUUUUAGUGCAUGAAGUUCAAAGCAACAAAUAACUUUCUGUCAACAGCAUGAAUUGCAUUAUAUCAAGUUUAAAAGAGGAAACAAAAAAAUAGAGUGCCUAAUACUCAUUUUAUUUAUGCAACAUUUAUGCAUUAGUUCAUUUCAAACUUCCUCCCGUUCAUCCCACAGCUGCUAGAACCCUAGUCUAUGAAAAUCACUUAAAGCAUAAACAACAUCACCUUGAGGAGCUCUGAUGAAC
Molecule: unclassified non-coding RNA, 488 nt
Filed under: Hevea brasiliensis (rubber tree)
Lineage: Eukaryota; Viridiplantae; Streptophyta; Magnoliopsida; Malpighiales; Euphorbiaceae
Source: RNAcentral